Molecule: ribosomal RNA, 512 nt
Filed under: Klebsiella pneumoniae
Lineage: Bacteria; Pseudomonadati; Pseudomonadota; Gammaproteobacteria; Enterobacterales; Enterobacteriaceae
Description: bacterial SSU rRNA
Rfam family: Bacterial small subunit ribosomal RNA
Source: RNAcentral
CCUGGUAGUCCACGCCGUAAACGAUGUCGAUUUGGAGGUUGUGCCCUUGAGGCGUGGCUUCCGGAGCUAACGCGUUAAAUCGACCGCCUGGGGAGUACGGCCGCAAGGUUAAAACUCAAAUGAAUUGACGGGGGCCCGCACAAGCGGUGGAGCAUGUGGUUUAAUUCGAUGCAACGCGAAGAACCUUACCUGGUCUUGACAUCCACAGAACUUUCCAGAGAUGGAUUGGUGCCUUCGGGAACUGUGAGACAGGUGCUGCAUGGCUGUCGUCAGCUCGUGUUGUGAAAUGUUGGGUUAAGUCCCGCAACGAGCGCAACCCUUAUCCUUUGUUGCCAGCGGUCCGGCCGGGAACUCAAAGGAGACUGCCAGUGAUAAAACUGGAGGAAGGUGGGGAUGACGUCAAGUCAUCAUGGCCCUUACGACCAGGGCUACACACGUGCUACAAUGGCAUAUACAAAGAGAAGCGACCUCGCGAGAGCAAGCGGACCUCAUAAAGUAUGUCGUAGUCCGGA